GUAUCCCUGCAGCGCGCGCGGUGAAAAGGAAGUUUUUGAGCCAACACCAUUAAAUUGGGAGCCUAACGUUAGGUGUGGCUGUAGACCUGGUUCUUAGGAGCUAGGGAACACCAAACAUCUAAGAGGGCACCCACUUGCUAAAUGGGUUCAAAAUACGGCCUUUCAUGCGGCACUAGCGGGGAUUUU
This 186-nucleotide non-coding RNA is filed under the name Candidatus Gorgyraea atricola. Its description in RNAcentral is "6S RNA". It matches the Rfam family "6S / SsrS RNA". Rfam says of the family: E. coli 6S RNA was the first non coding RNA to be sequenced, but its function was unknown until recently. The record is from RNAcentral. Lineage: Bacteria; Pseudomonadati; Candidatus Omnitrophota.